UGGAAGUAAAAAGUCGUAACAAGGUCUCCGUUGGUGAACCAGCGGAGGGAUCAUUAGAGAGUUCUCAUAAAACUCCCAAACCCAUGUGAACAUACCUUCUGUUGCCUCGGCAGGUCGCGCCGGCGCCGAACCGCGUAGCGCCCUACCUCCGGUAGGGCCUACCCGGGACGAGCCGGCGGUCUCCCCUGCCGGCGGCCCACGAAAUUCUGUUUUAGCAUAUUGAAUUCUGAACGUAUAACUAAAUCAGUUAAAACUUUCAACAACGGAUCUCUUGGUUCUGGCAUCGAUGAAGAACGCAGCGAAAUGCGAUAAGUAAUGUGAAUUGCAGAAUUCAGUGAAUCAUCGAAUCUCUGAACGCACAUUGCGCCCAUUAGUAUUCUAGUGGGCAUGCCUGUUCGAGCGUCAUUUCAACCCUCAAGCCCCCGUUGCUUGGUGUUGGGAGCCUACUGGGUCACCUGUAGCUCCCCAAAGUUAGUGGCGGAGUCGGUUCGCACUCUAGACGUAGUAGAUUUUCACCUCGCCUGUAGUGCCGGACCGGUCCCCUGCCGUAAAACACUCCUUAUCUCCAAAGGUUGACCUCGGAUCAGGUAGGAAUACCCGCUGAACUUAAGCAUAUCAAUAAGCGGAG
This 628-nucleotide ribosomal RNA is filed under the name fungal sp. ARIZ B465cA. RNAcentral describes it as "eukaryotic LSU rRNA". The stretch from base 252 to 405 matches the Rfam family "5.8S ribosomal RNA". The record is from RNAcentral. Lineage: Eukaryota; Fungi.